UUUGCUGCCAUGUGUUCCAGUCUUCUGUGUGCCUGCCUGCUUUACUAAUGACCCCUCACCUGCCUGUUUUGCCACUUUGGAUGCUUCUGCUGACGACCUGCCUGUUGCUACACUCUCCUAUACAAAGGAUGGAUUGAAAUGGAGGAAAGGAUGUCCAGAAAAGCGUCGCUGAUGCUUAUUAAAGUGAUGAUUUGGCUCCGAGGCGCCCCGUCAACACUAUUUAAAAAGGUAGGAUGGCUGCCACGGAGGACUGUUAGUGGAUUGGAAG
Long non-coding RNA from Anoplopoma fimbria (sablefish), 268 nucleotides. RefSeq lists it as uncharacterized. NCBI's taxonomy places the organism in Eukaryota, Metazoa, Chordata, Actinopteri, Perciformes, Anoplopomatidae. The record is from RefSeq and is a predicted model, not a curated record. The transcript is spliced from 3 exons.